ACGCUGGCGGCACGCCUAAUACAUGCAAGUCGAACGAAGUAGCAAUACUUAGUGGCAGACGGGUGAGUAACAUGUGGGUAUCUUCCCUUUGGUGAGGAAUAACACGAGGAAACUUGUGCUAAUACCUCAUAAGUCUUUACGGAGAAAGCUUUAUGCGCCAAUGGAUGAGCCCGCACUUGAUUAGUUUGUUGGUGGGGUAAUGGCCUACCAAGACAAUGAUCAAUAGCUGAUUUGAGAGGAUGAUCAGCCACAUUGGGACUGAGACACGGCCCAAACUUCUACGGAAGGCAGCAGUAGGGAAUCUUGCACAAUGGAGGAAACUCUGAUGCAGCGAUGCCGCGUGAGUGAAGAAGGCCUUUGGGUUGUAAAGCUCUUUCGUCGGGGAAGAAAAUGACUGUACCCGAAUAAGAAGGUCCGGCUAACUUCGUGCCAGCAGCCGCGGUAAUACGAAGGGACCUAGCGUAGUUCGGAAUUACUGGGCUUAAAGAGUUCGUAGGUGGUUAAAAAAGUUGGUGGUGAAAUCCCAGAGCUUAACUCUGGAACUGCCAUCAAAACUUUUUAGCUAGAGUAUGAUAGAGGAAAGCAGAAUUUCUAGUGUAGAGGUGAAAUUCGUAGAUAUUAGAAAGAAUACCAAUUGCGAAGGCAGCUUUCUGGAUCAUUACUGACACUGAGGAACGAAAGCAUGGGUAGCGAAGAGGAUUAGAUACCCUCGUAGUCCAUGCCGUAAACGAUGUGUGUUAGACGUUGGAAAUUUAUUUUCAGUGUCGCAGCGAAAGCAAUAAACACACCGCCUGGGGAGUA
RNAcentral lists this ribosomal RNA (801 nucleotides) under uncultured Pelagibacteraceae bacterium. Its description in RNAcentral is "bacterial SSU rRNA". It matches the Rfam family "Bacterial small subunit ribosomal RNA", at positions 33 to 882 of the family's 1533-position model. Lineage: Bacteria; Pseudomonadati; Pseudomonadota; Alphaproteobacteria; Candidatus Pelagibacterales; Candidatus Pelagibacteraceae. The record is from RNAcentral.